UACGGAGGGGACUAGCGUUGUUCGGAAUUACUGGGCGUAAAGCGCACGUAGGCGGAUCGGAAAGUUGGGGGUGAAAUCCCGGGGCUCAACCCCGGAACUGCCUUCAAAACUAUCGGUCUGGAGUUCGAGAGAGGUGAGUGGAAUUCCGAGUGUAGAGGUGAAAUUCGUAGAUAUUCGGAGGAACACCAGUGGCGAAGGCGGCUCACUGGCUCGAUACUGACGCUGAGGUGCGAAAGCGUGGGGAGCAAACAGG
This 253-nucleotide ribosomal RNA is filed under the name uncultured bacterium. Its description in RNAcentral is "partial 16S ribosomal RNA". It matches the Rfam family "Bacterial small subunit ribosomal RNA", at positions 524 to 776 of the family's 1533-position model. The record is from RNAcentral.